Molecule: small RNA, 8630 nt
Filed under: Rattus norvegicus (Norway rat)
Lineage: Eukaryota; Metazoa; Chordata; Mammalia; Rodentia; Muridae
Description: RGD1561251
Source: RNAcentral
AAUCUCGGGAACCUCUGGGAAUUUGCUCUUCAUGUAGCAAACAGCCUAGUAAGAAAAACUAGCUUGGGGGCCAGUCUUGGCUGGGAAGAGGAAGUUAAAUGAAACUGUCUGACGUUAAAUCCGUGCUCUCCCUGGCAGAGCCCACCUGGUGGAUGCCACCGAUGAAUGAUAAACCCUGUGAACACACGGAGACUGUCGAUUUCAGGGGAAAGCAUGUGACUGAAUACUUGCCCGAUACUUAUCAACUAUUAUGAAUUAUUGAUUUUCAUAAUCCCCCACCACCUCGCACGGCCCGCUCCUCCCUCCACGGUGAGGGUGGCGGCAGAAUUGUAAGCAUCUCUGGUAUAAUCCUGUCUCCUCCCUUCUUGUUCUCCCCUCUUUGGCAGAGUUCCUUCGGAAAGGCUGGAACGAACUCCCUGCCAGCAGGAGGCAGCCAAUUCCAGCUUCCUGGGGCUUUGAAACUGGGCCUGGCUCACCCAGCAGGCUGUUGAUAAAGUGGGGAAGUGUUAGAGUAAGCUAGAGACCCCGCUUUGAGAUCCCAGGUCAUCUGGAAACGAGCGAGCGAGCGGUUUUUGCAGAACAAGGGAACUAUCCUGCGUGUAGAAAGGGGACGAUAUGGCAGAUGGUCUUAAGAUGACUUUGGGAGUCAAAUAAAAAUCACAGGCUCUUAUUGGCAUAGAUCAUAGGAGAGAAGACACUCCCUUGGAAAAGGAAGUUUGUUUAAGGACAAAAUCAAGAGAGCUUGACCUUGCCGUGGGGUUGUCCAGUCUAAGAGGGUGAAAAUAUCCUUAGGACAGUAAAAGACAAUGUCCUUUGACCAUGCCGAUGGCAGCCAUCCCUCACAGUGGCACAGCCACUCCGAGCCCAGACUUGAAUUCCUUACUCAAUUAAAACGCCCACCAAGAUCAGGCACAGUUUAAACCAUGCCAUGCAGGAUGCCGACAGCCUUUCUGGAAGAAGCCGUAGAAAGGACUCUGAGGAAGGGCUUGGAAAAUCUUGAGAGAGGACAGACCACCGGCCAUCCCCCUGAUGAUGCCUCUCAUCCUGCUCUCUCGGGAAGCUUCCCCCCGGGGGGGGGGGGAGUGUGGAGCAGAUAUAAGAAAUGGAGACUGCAGGGCUAGAAGUUUCCACAACUUGGAGGUCCUGAGAUAAAGUUGGCAACCUACCUGUGGACUCUGGUGGCCUUUGGGAGAAGAGCCUAGAAAAAAUGAAAGCAGAGUUGGCAGGAGACCCAGGGGAGCUAGCUGGAAGGCCCGGCUGAAACAGGCUCCGAGCCUAGUCUGAGCCGCAGAGGAGCAACAGAGAAGGAUCCAAGGCUGGCUCCGUACCUUGCCAGCAGUGUGACCAUGGGCCUACUUAACUUCUUAAGUCACAGUUGUUGUUGUUUUUUUUCCUUGUUGGGACAUUGCACAUAGAGUUGCUGAGAAUACUAAAGGUCACCAAACUAAAUGCUUGGUGUGAAUCUGAUACUUAAGAAAUAUCCAUCCAUCCAUCCAUCCAUCCAUCCAUCCAUCAUCAUCAUCAUCAUCACCAUCACCAUCAUCACCAUCACCAUCGUCACCGAAAUAAGAGGACUUUAGACCAUGUGGCUCCCAGGACUUGGUAAGCAACGUUUUCACAUAAAUACCAAGUCAGUUGAUAUCUGUGGUCACUCUAGGAAGCUGCCACUUCUCUUAAGAUGGCAGGUGCUGAUGGUAUAGAGUUUAACCACAUGAAGGAACUAAAACGAACCAAAUGAACCAAAAACAAAACAAAACAACCCCACCAGUCUGGUGAGAACUUCCACACCUAGGGUUGACCUAGACGUGGUCCAGAGUUUGAAAAAGAGGUUUCCAAGAGAGAGGGUGAAUGUUCUUCUUAACCCACAGCCCUUGAGCAUGUGUGAGCCGAAGAGGGUAAGAGGACUCUGUUUUGAGACCCCGGUACCAAGGUGGUGGUCUCCUCUAGUUAGAGCCAUCACCAUGGUGUGAGCAUGUGGUAUAUACCAUGACAAUUGCACACAGAGGAGGUACCGGGCUUUUGCAGUGAUAUGAGGCAGAUGACACCUUUAUCCAGGGCCAAGGCUGAGAGUCACCAGAGUCACUGAUGCUUUGCUUUAGCAGAGGCUCAACCUUGGUGGGCCAAGCUCUGCAGCCAUUGGAGGAACUGGCCACGCUCAGAGCUGCCGAAGUGGGUCCCAGGAGUGCGCUGGCGAUCUAGAAGGGCGGAUGAAAGCAGAGGAGAGAGGAACAGCCUGUGCUGUGGUGACUUACAGCUGAAGAAAAGAAAGACUGAAGUGAAGAGGAAGGGGAGAGAAGGAGAUAAAACCCCCAACACACCAGAUCAGAAUAGGCUAAGGAUCUUUGACCACACCCAGGAUCUGUGAAGCAGCAGAGAAAUGAUCCAGUAACCUUCACUUGCUGAUGGACGGCAGACAUUGGGCCUGCUGGAAUAUCGUUCCUACUUGCUCCGUGGCCUUGAACGCAUUGCUUGGCCUCUCUGUGUCUCACUUUCUACAUUGAUAAGGUCUCCAUGCACCGCAGUGGUUUCCUGGAAUAAAGCUGAGGAAAGGUGAUCUCACCCCCGUCUACAUGGAGGAAGUUGUGCGAGUAUGGGGCUUCCACGAGAUGUUUCUUCACUGAUGGAAGGGAUUUAAUGUGUGCUUCCCUGGGAUUGCCACAGCAAAGAAAUGAUUUUUACAAGACCUUGCUCAUGACCUGCCUCCUGUUAUCCAAUGUCUCCUCACCGAAUAUAAGAGCCUCCUCCUGAAUCUGUCAGAAGGAUCUUGGAAGGAAAGGAUGAGAGAGAAAAACAGGCCUUCAGAGCUGGAGAACGGAUAUGAUUAUCUAUAACCCAGAUCAAGACCAGCUCCUCCAUUGAUUCUCAGCUUUGUGGAUAAGACUAAGUGAAGACAGUGCCCACUGAGCCCUGGGCCUGUGUUCCUGGGACUCUCGUUGCAGAACAGGUCCAUGACGGUGUUAGAACCUUCAGUGUCCCUGCCUUCCUGUAUCUUGGGUGUCCACAUUACCUGAUUGUUGAUGAACCUACAUGAUGAAGGUUGCUCAUGUUCUGGGUUUCCUGUUCCUGUCUUAGGUCAGUUUCCCUUUUCUCCACGUUCAUCUUCCUUUCCAUUUCCACGGUUCUGCUUAAGUGUUAGCCCCUUGAACUUGAGCACAGGAGUCCCAGGUUUUAUGGGAGGGAGAAUACUGAAGCAGGAUUCUGAGGAUGGGGUAAGUUGGAUGCUGUACAGAGUAGACUGGAUGCUGCAUCUGCUAAUCUAAUCAUAGACAUGCUUGGAGGACAAAGGGGCUUUAUGUCAGUUUGUGAGGGAGGGGAGAGAGAGAGAGAGCAAGGAGAGAGAGAGAGAGAGAGAGAGAGAGAGAGAGAGAGAGAGAGGCGUUUAAGCUAUUAAACUAUUAGGAUUUUGGGACUGACUAAUCUUUCUGGUUUCUUCUGUGAACUGUAACUAAUUGACAGUUAACCAUUCUAGACUCUGCUUCUAGAACUCUGAGUCCUAUUCGCAAGACAAGUAGCUAUGAAGAGCAAGACAAAGUGUCCCCCAUCAGCAAAUUAAAAUGUCAGAGUCACGGUUUAAACAGCAAGACACGUGUGGGGCAUGCCCACGAAGUCGACAAAUUCAAACAACUUUAGUCUUCUUCCUCAGCUCCUUCCUCCUCAUGGUGGUGCACUGAAGUCUUGCUGUAAUUGCACGAAGAGUGCCACUGUGUGGGGGAGCAUUCUGGAAGAGGCUGGGAGAAGGCAGGGGAGCCAGGCAGGCAGAGUGGUUCCUGCCCUCAGGGAGCUUUGACGCUGUAGCCAGAAGCUUUGAUUGUGUUCUAAGAAUUCUCUUUGCAGGCUCCUGGCUGCAUUAGGAGGAACUCGAAAGCUGAUUUAAAAUAAUUUCCUACCAAGGGAACAGAGUGGGAAUCCGGAUGGAUGGAGAAUUGUUAAUUUGACAUUUAAGAUUGAGGGACAAGUGGGUAUUUGUCUCAUCCCCUCGGGUUUUUUUUCUCCGUGGGAGAGAAGCAGCCAGCCUCACUGAUUGUCAAGUGUUAAUGGGAACCCUUCCAUUUUUCCCUAUUGAAAACAUGUAAUUUAAUGUGAAGCUUCUAUUGGUGGGCCGUGAGCAGGCAGAAUUCUCAGGAUAAUGAACUUGAUUUUCCACUUGAAAUGCAAUCCGCAUUCACGAAUUAUCUUUUUAUAAGGGAGACAUGGAGCAAAGUGGCUCACCCAUACAUCUCAGUUGACCUCACAAACACCUCUGAAGAGAGCGUCAUUACCUAUCUUUUAUAGACAACAAGGGGAAAUGGUAGCCUGGGGCUCUGGACUGUGCCAGUUCACUUCUGGUAGAUGAACAACUUGUUAUUUCGUUUCCCUUGGUCGAAUUGUUAUAAACAUUGCAACAUUAACACCUGCAUGACAUUUGCACGACUCAGCGCUUCGCAGCCUGGUCACGUGUCUUCUGUGGCUACUCUGCUAACCCUGUGUGCUUCAUCUGUAACAAUGGGUAAGCCCAGAUCUCUGCAGCCCAGCUUGCUUUUGUCCUAGACUAAAUCGAUAGCAAUCCAGCCUCCAGAAGUCUAAUCUAUUUCUUUAUUUGCAGAGUCUCUCUGGGGUGACACCCUUGGCCAGAGAAGACAACACUGGCACUCUCCUGUCAGAGUCCGAAAGCUCAAGAUGUAGAUGCUGUUACCACCUUGCCUGGGGCUUCCUGCUACUUGGCUGUCUUGAGUCAACAAUAGCCAAGGGGACAGAAGAAAGAGAGAAAAGUUAUAUCUAUAUGUUUGAACAGUUUGAUCCCUAAUGGAAUGGACGCUGGAGAUGAGGCAAACACAGCCCAGAGAGAACCACCAUUGUGACGCAUUAGAGAAGCACCCAUGACGAUCAAUCACUGCUGAUGGCCUGGACCGCCAGCAUCAAUACUCUAGCACUCUGGAGACUUGGAAAGUAAAACAAAGGUUGCUUGAACGCAAACACUCUGCCACAGCGUUUUAUCUGAUAGUGGGGGUGCGCGCUCCACUCAGUGACUGACAGGCAAGUAACAUAUACAGUGUGCACACGUUGGAUGGAGGGACAUAUCCCACAACCGGAUGGAGCCAGUGAAUGAUACGAGGACAUGAUUGCCCUAAGGUAUGGCUGAGGAGAAGGUUUUAAUGUAGACGUGAGGCAGAGUACGGCCAGAGGCAUCUGGGAGAGUUCAGAUCAAACCAGGCCAUAAGAGGAAAAAACAAGGGGUGGAGGUGAGAGGGAAAAAGAAGAGUGGGGACAAUCAGACUAAGAGAACCAAGAGCAAGUCAAGAGAGACAGAACAACCAAGAGGGGCUGAAAUGCCAGGGUUCUAUAGGAGAGAGAAGCUGGCAGGGAAGGGAGUCAAGCCCCAGGACUAUAGAGGUUUAGGGUAGCGGUAUAGUGAGAAGAGCUGAGAAGAGCCAAGACUCUGUAACUGGGACUUACAAUACUGAGAGAACCCAGAGGUCAGCAUGUGCUUUGGUUUGCUGCCAUUUGUCCCUGAGUUUCUCUGGGACCUGACAGCCAGGUAGGCUGAGGUUUUAUUACACUACUCACCAUGAUGAACAAUUUAGAACUCAUCAAUUAUUCAUGUCUGGGAUUUUUCCAUUUAACAUUUUGUGCAGCAAGUUGUGUAGGUAAGUAAAUCAUGGACAACAGAACUCCGGAGGCUGCAGCGGGAGAACUCCUGAGUGCCUAUUAAAUGACUUGGUUCUGGUUCCAAUGGCGGAGGUUCUGAAGUGGGCACUGCCAGCACCUACUGAAUUCUUACCAGCUCCGAGCGACUCUAACGUGGGUGUUCUCAGAACCACAUUUUGAGAAACAGUCCUCCGUAUUGACAUAAUUGGCAGCAUCCUUCCUUUAAACACUUCCCUUUGGUUGCUAUGAUACACCCCUCCUCCCCAAGUUCUGUGGGCUCUCUAAUUCUGUUCUCCAUCUCCCACUUCCUCUCCAGCCUGUACCACUGUCCCCAGACUCUCUGCUCCUUCCUCCGCUGUCUGUCCCCUGGGGCAUGGCUCCAACUUGGGCAGAUGGUCCAACCUUGCCCUGGUGAGUGCCAGCCUCCUGGUGAGAUCCGUGGAUUUUGGAACAGAGUUGUACUUCAUUCAGCCUGGGUCCAGGACUUAGCUGUGAAGAAGGUGAUAUUGACGCUGCUGCUCCAAUCACCCCCACCCUGCUCUGGGCCUUUCCUCUUCCAUUAAGAUCUCCUGCUUUGCAGUUUUCUAAUCAAAUUAGUUCCGAGGGAAGAGCUGAUCUGUUUACACGGUCACACUAAUGUGCCAACUCUCCCAGUCACUGGCAUUUGCAAAGCCUUUUUCCGUCUUUGUGGUUUCAACCCUGUUAUUUCAGGCUUCCCUUAGCAGAUAGGGUGAUUCAGAAGGGCACGACCAAGGGAUAGGGCGAGCUGAUUUGAGAAGGGCUGGCUCUUCUCUUCUUCGACAUUUCUAGGAGCGUAGACUGAAAACUAGCCUGUCAAACGGCUGGGAGGGCAGGACUUGGACCUUCUAGGUCUUGGGCAAGGAUAAGCAAUAACUGCAGUCACAAUAGGCCAGACCCUAGAAGCACGGAGGAUAAGGACAGACUACAGAGCUGCAAUUGGGCUUACUUCCUGCCACGCCUACCCAUGGCCACGCCUACCCAUAGCCACUCCUACCCAUAUACUUCUAAGAGCUCCUCUUCACUGGUCAGGUCUCAUCUUAAAAGUUCUCUCUUGGGAAUAAAUAGCCUGACCUGGCCGCCAGGUUGUGGUCCCUUUUUGUGAUCCUGUGUUAGCAACCGCUUGCCUUUGUUGUAUUUAUCACAGGUUGUAAUUAUUUGAUUUCCUUCUUCCUGUCUCCUUCUGGAGUUAAGUAAGGCUCCAGGCGGGUGAGACCAGGCUGCCUCACACCCCUUCUAUGCAGGUUCAAAACAGAGAUCAACAGGAAGCCGGAAGGACAGCAUGAACAAGCCCUACCACCCUGCAGUCCCCGAGCUGAAGCAAACUGUCCUCAAUAGGCAUGUGGUGCAGAAAGGCAGAAAACUGACAGUAAUAUAAAUGAUUCUUGUAUGUAAAACUGCCAAUAGAUGUUUGCCCAGUAGAGGGGGCAAUUGGCGCUUUUCCUGCGACUAUCAAGAUCUGAAUGCGCCAUAGUUUUCCUGAGGUCCCGUGUGCUCUUAGAAUUCUCCUUUGAGCCAGUCAGAACAUCUUACUGACUGCCUCAUUAGUUGGUAAAAUAACAUCUCUGACAAUCUCUGACAUAUUAGUUUCAUAUUUGUACCUGAGUCAAAUGUUUAGCUUCUUAAAAAUAUUUUUUUCAUUCGAACUUCAUGGAAACCAAGUAUUUUGUGCAUCAAAAGAUACUAUCAGGAAAAUGAAAAGUCCCCCUACAAAUGGAGGAAAAAAAACCCAACCCACACACAAAUCACAUCUAGAGAAUAAAGAACUAAACUUCAGCAAUACCGACAGGAGCAGUGACAAACAAACACAAACAAAACAACAACAAUAACAAAACCAAUUAAAAAUGGUCAAAGGCUUCAAUUAGGCAGCUCUCUAAAGAAAAUACAAAAGCACAUGUGAAUGUCACCAGAGUUGUUAGGUCAAAGCCUGAGCUCUCCUGGCAUAGCGGAAGGACCACAGGACAAAGGCAAGCUGGCAGAGGAUAGACAAAGACUGUCCCCAUGUAACUUCACAUAACUAACAUCAGUCUGCAGAAAAGCCCUUGACAUAGGAGCCAGGUAGAUGGUUGCUGUGUAACCAUAAAGGUUACUCACCUUGUGACCCCGUGCUUUGGUUUGAUUUGUUUCCCCCUCACUACUCUAGCCACACCUAUGCGAAGGAGCAUUUUCCCUCCAGUCUGAUUCUGUCUCUAACCAUGUGUCCCCGGUGGACUCCUUUGACACAGUAUAAAAGCCUGAAAUUGGGUGCCCUCAGAACUCAGAUCUACAGUCUGGCAUGAAAAUUCUCUCUCUCUCUCUCUCUCUCUCUCUCUCUCUCUCUCUCUCUCUCUCUCUCUCCCCUUCCUUCCCUAUUCCUCCCUCCCUACUUCUCCAUCUGUCCUUGAUAAUUCUACUCCUAGAUGUAAAUACAGGAGACUGAAAGCAGGGAUUUGACAGAUGUUUGAGCAUGGCCAUAGCAGCAUUAGUAACAGCAGCCAAUGUUGAAGUAAUCUGAAGCCAGGUAAGCCAGGUAGAUAUCUAUGAUCUUAUUACGAAGCUGAGGUAGGACUAUCAAGAGUCAAGGCCAGCCUAGAGAUCCUGUCACACACACACACACACACACACACACACACACACACACACACACACACACACACACGGGGGGGGGCGCAUGAUAGAGAGAAUCAACCAGCAGAUAAUGAAUGAAUGAAUGAAAUAUUGCAUAUAAAUACAGUGGGGGAUGCUAUUCAACCACUUAGAGGAAUAAAAUGCCAAUAUAUGCUACAAAUGAAUGGACUUUGUGUUAAUUCGGGUUUCCAUUCUGUGAUGAAACAUCAUGACCAAAACCAGCUUGAGGUGGGAAGGGUUUAUUCUGUUUACACUUCCAGGUAACAGUCCAUCACUAAUGGGAGUCCGGGAGGUACCUUAAGGGCAGAUGCUGAAGGCGCAGGAGCUGAUGCAGAGGCCGUGAAGGGGGGCUUCUUACUGGCUUGUUCCUCAUGGCUUGC